UAGUCCUAGCCGUAAACGAUGGACACUAGGUGUGGGGGACCAGAUCCUCCGUGCCGUAGCCAACGCAUUAAGUGUCCCGCCUGGGGAGUACGGUCGCAAGACUAAAACUCAAAGGAAUUGACGGGGGCCCGCACAAGCAGCGGAGCAUGAGGCUUAAUUCGAAGCAACGCGAAGAACCUUACCAGGGCUUGACAUAUGGGUGAGCCGGUGGAGACACCGGGGCCGGAAGGAGCCCAUAC
RNAcentral lists this ribosomal RNA (239 nucleotides) under uncultured bacterium. RNAcentral describes it as "partial 16S ribosomal RNA". It matches the Rfam family "Bacterial small subunit ribosomal RNA", at positions 791 to 1035 of the family's 1533-position model. The record is from RNAcentral.